Molecule: long non-coding RNA, 1720 nt
Organism: Carya illinoinensis
Lineage: Eukaryota; Viridiplantae; Streptophyta; Magnoliopsida; Fagales; Juglandaceae
Exons: 3
Source: RefSeq, a predicted model, not a curated record
AUUUUUUGAAUUUUUGGAGUUCUUGCGUGUUUGGGAAAGUUAACUUAUUUUUGGAUAUUCUCCAUUAUUGAUUGUGAAUCUGUUACGAAUUGCAGUGCCUUUUUUUUUUUGGGGUGAUACAUUAGGGACUUUUUUUAUGUUGAAGGAUGGGUUUGGAUCAGUUUUUUAGAUAUUGAUUUAGAAUUGAUUUGGGGUUUUGGGAGCUUUGUCGAAUGUUCUUUUGGGUGAUAUACAUCCGAGAGUUCAUGAAAGUAAGUUUUAUCUGAUUUUUGUUAAUAUGGGGUUGCUCAACCUCCUCGGGAGGUAGUGAAUGUAUCAUCAUUUCUCAUAUUUGUGGUGCCCCAUGAUUUGGGUAGGAAAAGAGGGUGGGUAGUUUUGUUACAAACCUUUGUCUAAGCUAUAAAAAUUUUCUCAAAGGAAACCUUCUCUAGCUGCUGUGAUUUUGGGAUUUUGGUAGCUCUAGCUGCUGUGAAAUAUUUAAUUCACAUCUAAUCAAAUAAAUGCACACUGAGGAGGGCAGUAAUCUCUGGUAGUUUGGAGGAAGGGAAAAGAACUUAGAAAUUAACCUAGUAGCAUCAUUGAUGGUACUUAUAUUUUGCAAAAUGGAACCAAAUAUGUGCAUACCCAUGUGUGAAUAAUAUCUAUCAUAUACGUUGACUGGGAUUUUUGGCUAUUCUGUUUUGCUUUGCAGCCUUAAGUUUUGGUAUCAUGGCUUUAAUUGGAACCUUAUUGUAGAUGGUUCUUAACUUUGUUAUCAUUUACUGUUGCUUUCAGUCAUAUAUAGAGGUUUGAUUUUGUUAUACAGAGUGAGUGCAGGGUGGUUUUUUUGGGUAGCAGAUGUAGCUUUCUUUUUGUCAAUUUAAUAAGCAAUAGAAUAAUAUAUAUAUAUAUAUAUAAUUAAUUCGACUGAGAGAAAGGAGAAUAGGUAAAUGCCAUAUAAAAAGGCAACUACCAUUCAUGUUUCUACCUCAAUCUCUAUGGAUUUGUACCCAAAGUUGCCAAAAGAAGAUGGAGUUCUUGUGGUCUGUAAUGGUGAAAAUGGAGUCUCUGCUGCUCACCAGUUUUCUGAUCAUCAUCAUCAAGUAUUAUCGGACAGCAUACUUUGUCUAAGAUCAUGAUCAUGAUCUUAAACAACCACGGAUUCCUGGUUGGUUUGCAGAGCAUUGUCCAAUUUGGCCAGUACAUUUCUGACUUUGGACAUCUCAGGAAAAAGAAAUCAAUGGACAAACAAAUUUAAGAAAACAAAGAAAGGAAAGUAGAAGACACGCAUAUAACUUUUCAGAAAAAGAAAUUUUGUUGACCAAACAACAUUCAUUUUGCUUGUCAUAUUUGUGGUAAGAUUUUUGCCAGAUUCAUAGAUUUUUUCCAUUUGCGUAGUCGUCAUGCACUUCUUUCAUCUCUUUUUUUGCCUUUUGGUUGUCAUAUUAAAUUAUUGGCAUUGAAUAAAUUUUGCCUUUAACUUUUUUGAGGACUUUCCACAGGUAGUUCAAUUGAUAUGGUGAUCCUCUAUGAUUUUGCAUAUUUGGUGAGCUGAAAGCUGACAAAGCUCAUUUAAGUCUUUGAAUUUCAGUUAAGGCCAAUGUCUUUAUGUUGUAUGUAAUGAACACAUUUCAAAAACUCAAGUGUUAUUUGAAUAAAAUAUCUACAUUUGUGUUGGAUUGGAUUACAUGGGCAGCAAGCAUGUUGAUAUGUCUUGCAAUACAAGAUUUUGAGUUAUAUA